RNAcentral lists this ribosomal RNA (501 nucleotides) under uncultured Acetobacterium sp. Its description in RNAcentral is "bacterial SSU rRNA". It matches the Rfam family "Bacterial small subunit ribosomal RNA", at positions 379 to 904 of the family's 1533-position model. The record is from RNAcentral. Lineage: Bacteria; Bacillati; Bacillota; Clostridia; Eubacteriales; Eubacteriaceae.
GUCCCUGAUUGACGGACCGGGUGAGUGAAGAAGGUUUUCGGAUCGUAAAGCUCUGUUAUUGGGGAAGAAAAAAAGACGGUACCCAAGAAGAAAGUUCCGGCUAACUACGUGCCAGCAGCCGCGGUAAUACGUAGGGAACAAGCGUUGUCCGGAUUUACUGGGCGUAAAGGGCAUGUAGGCGGUUUUUUAAGUCAGAUGUGAAAGGUACCGGCUCAACCGGUGACAUGCAUUUGAAACUGAAGAACUUGAGUAUUGGAGAGGCAAGUGGAAUUCCUGGUGUAGCGGUGAAAUGCGUAGAUAUCAGGAGGAACACCGGUGGCGAAGGCGGCUUGCUGGACAAAUACUGACGCUGAGAUGCGAAAGCGUGGGGAGCAAACAGGAUUAGAUACCCUGGUAGUCCACGCCGUAAACGAUGAGUGCUAGGUGUUGGGGAGACUCAGUGCCGCAGUUAACACAUUAAGCACUCCGCCUGGGGAGUACGACCGCAAGGUUGAAACUCAA